RNAcentral lists this ribosomal RNA (467 nucleotides) under uncultured bacterium. RNAcentral describes it as "partial 16S ribosomal RNA". It matches the Rfam family "Bacterial small subunit ribosomal RNA", at positions 28 to 507 of the family's 1533-position model. The record is from RNAcentral.
GACGAACGCUGGCGGCGUGCUUAACACAUGCAAGUCGAACGGAAAGGCCCCUUUCGGGGGGUACUCGAGUGGCGAACGGGUGAGUAACACGUGAGUAGCCUGCCCUUGACUUUGGGAUAACUUCAGGAAACUGGGGCUAAUACCGGAUAGGAGCUCCUGCUGCAUGGUGGGGGUUGGAAAGUUUCGGCGGUUGGGGAUGGACUCGCGGCUUAUCAGCUUGUUGGUGGGGUAGUGGCUUACCAAGGCUUUGACGGGUAGCCGGCCUGAGAGGGUGACCGGCCACAUUGGGACUGAGAUACGGCCCAGACUCCUACGGGAGGCAGCAGUGGGGAAUAUUGCACAAUGGGUGGAAGCCUGAUGCAGCAACGCCGUGUGCGGGAUGACGGCCUUCGGGUUGUAAACCGCUUUCGCUCAUGACGAAGCUUUGUGUGACGGUAGUGGGUAAAGAAGCACCGGCUAACUACGUG